Molecule: ribosomal RNA, 255 nt
Filed under: uncultured bacterium
Lineage: Bacteria
Description: partial 16S ribosomal RNA
Rfam family: Bacterial small subunit ribosomal RNA
Source: RNAcentral
UACGGAGGGUGCAAGCGUUAUCCGGAUUCACUGGGUUUAAAGGGUGCGUAGGAGGGCAGGGAAGUCCGUGGUGAAAUCCUAGAGCUUAACUCUAGAACUGCCGUGGAUACUCUCUGUCUUGAAUCCCGUGGAGAUGAGCGGAAUAUGUCAUGUAGCGGUGAAAUGACUUAGAUAUGACAUAGAACACCAAUUGCGAAAGGCAGCUCGUUACACGAAGAUUGACUCUGAGGCACGAAAGCGUGGGGAUCAAACAGG